GGGGAUUUAGCUCAGUGGUAGAGCGCUUGCCUAGCAAGCGCAAGGUCCUGGGUUCGGUCCCCAGUUCCG
RNAcentral lists this transfer RNA (69 nucleotides) under Rattus norvegicus (Norway rat). It matches the Rfam family "tRNA". From Rfam's summary of the family: Transfer RNA (tRNA) molecules are approximately 80 nucleotides in length. Their secondary structure includes four short double-helical elements and three loops (D, anti-codon, and T loops). Further hydrogen bonds mediate the characteristic L-shaped molecular structure. tRNAs have two regions of fundamental functional importance: the anti-codon, which is responsible for specific mRNA codon recognition, and the 3' end, to which the tRNAs corresponding amino acid is attached (by aminoacyl-tRNA synthetases). tRNAs cope with the degeneracy of the genetic code in two manners: having more than one tRNA (with a specific anti-codon) for a particular amino acid; and 'wobble' base-pairing, i.e. permitting non-standard base-pairing at the 3rd anti-codon position. Lineage: Eukaryota; Metazoa; Chordata; Mammalia; Rodentia; Muridae. The record is from Rfam by way of RNAcentral.